This is a long non-coding RNA of Falco peregrinus (peregrine falcon), 2891 nucleotides long. RefSeq lists it as uncharacterized. The record is from RefSeq and is a predicted model, not a curated record. The transcript has 2 exons. Lineage: Eukaryota; Metazoa; Chordata; Aves; Falconiformes; Falconidae.
CUUACGCAGCAGAAAUGCAGGCAGCUACAGACCACAGGGGUGGCUUGCAGCACCAGCCAAGCAGCUCUGUGCUGCACAGCUCAGGGAAAACUGAACCCAAAACAAAGAGGAAAACAGACUUGCUGGUAGCACAACAAAAAUCCCCACAGCCACAUCCAGCUGGUGGGGGAGGGAACCCUGCAAAGCUGCACAGCGCAGGGCUGGAUGGAAAGGUGGAGCAGUGGGCAGCGCUGGGCUCGCAGCAACAGUUAUUCAGUAAACAACACCAGGAUUUUUGGCUGAGCAAACAGCCAAGAGAAGGAAAGAAGCGAGGCUGUGCCACACGGAUGGCGGGGCAGAACUAAAGGUCUUCCAGGUCGGCAGGAAGGAAACUGUUUCAAUGACUUUUCUCUAGAACAACAAUGCUGACUAUAGGAAAAGGCACAGGCUGCUGCGAACCAACAGUUAAGCAGGAAAAUAACCACAUCAGAGGCAAAAGGAAAAUUUUGAAGUUCAGCAUGCUAGACCAGGGGAGGCUGGCCAACAACCACCCUGGAGAGCUAGGAGCCAGCAUAUUGAAUUGCAAGUCUGACUGCAAGGAUUUCCAGCAGAGCCAUGAACUCACGCCAAGUCAGAAGGCUAGGAGAAUGUUUUCCAGGCAAAGCACAGGUAGAUUCAGCUUGAAAGUCCAGGCUGUGAUGGGUUUCUAUCCACCAGAACUGUGGGUGUCUGCAGCGGCUUCCAUAUAGGAAUAGCACAGGCCAAACCCUGCUGUUUAUGAAAGGGAUUACGUCAGCUGGUGGCUUCAGAUAAUAAGCGACCACAUUUGAGGAUCCAUGAAUUUCCUCCUGAUCUGUUUUCUGUGAUCCAAGGAGAGGCUGUUCCUGCUUUCAUGUUCAGAGCUGACUAAUUUGGAGAACACCUGCAAAGACACCAAAGCAAUAUCCUUAUCUGCUAAGGCAUUCCUGCAGGCUCCUAGGCUGUAACAAGGGUGUUGUGCAAAAACAGUGCAAGAGGUCCUGAGCAACAGCUGGCAAGUGUCAGGUACGUAGGAAAGGAGAGCUCCAGCCUUCCUGUGGUUUCUGCACAUGGAAAGCACUCCAUGCUCAGAGUGAGUCAUUUAUUACUGGUGCUGCAAAGCCCUAGACAAAACAGAUGAAAUCAGCUGGCAGUGGGCAAGCCAAGAAAACAUCUGCUUGUGCCCAUGUGGUGUGCAAAACCAGGGCUGCCAUGUUCUAACACCUUAAUGGUAUGAAAUUAGAGCAAAACCACAUGGUGAAUAGUUAAACGGUAGUUUUAUCUCAAGGAGAAAUUAAAAUCUAUCUAUGGCUCUUGUUGUGUACAGAAGGAAUCUCUUUGUAAGUUGCUGGUAAUUAAGGAAAACACACUUGCAUUAAAAAGCCACUUUGGUUUUGAUUUUGAGAUUUUAUUAUUAUGUUGCAAGUUUAAUUGAGAGGGAAGUGCUGGCCUUCUGUGCCCUUUGCAUCUCGCUGUGCCUGUUGGAUCUGGGGAUGAGCCUGACGCUUUGUUUCACACUCAGACGAAGCCAUGGCCAAGGCGAACUCAGCUCGGGCUGUGGGCUGCUGCCACCACAGGGCUGAACCAGAGGGCCAGGAGGUGAGAGAGAUCCCUCACGGGGUGUUGGCACUGCCCGAACCAGCUCACCUCUCCUCUCUGCCCAGGCAGAUACAGGGACUGCCUUCCUCAUGGUUGUUUUUAUAUGAUCAGGCAACAAAUUAUUUUUAUUCUACCAAAAUUAAGCCUGUUCCUCGAAGCUAUAACAAGGGCAGCCGCAACCAAAGGUGACGGGGAGUGCCGCUGGUGGAAACAGCCGUCAGCAGUUUGCAUGACCCAGGAGUGCUGUAGACUAGGGGGAAGGUGAGGAAGGCCUCGUAGCACCUCCUGUGGUCUAUUGUUCAGGACUUCAAAGAGCCCAGGGAUCUGUAGUCACUGCUAAUAGCUGUUAUCUUCUGGUAACAGUAAUUAUGAACUGAAGGAGACUCAGAGACAGUGAUUGUAAAGGGCCAAUAAAGCUACACCUUUUCUGCUUGACUUACUUGAUUGCCCCUGUUUUCCUUGUAUCCACCCCUCUAGGAUUUGUCUUUUAAUCCUUCCAAGCUGAUCUAUACACCUAUGAAUGCUCACUGUCAAUAAUACAGUUAUUACUGCUGCCUGACUAUCCUGAAGCUUCUAUCAAUCAUGCAUUAAUCUUACACGCAGCUCCUAGGACUCCAUCUCAAAUGCAAAUGUAAGAUGUAAAGAACCGGGAGAAGAAAAUUCUAAAGCCAGUAAAAGCUGAUUUACACUUUCCCAGUUCAGCUUCCUAUUAAUUUUGCCAUACUGGAUUUUGGAGUAGUAACUCAUCAGUCGGCAUUUGUUGAAAGUCCACAUACUACUUAUGCAUAAGCAUAUAAACUUCACACCUGUGAGCAAAGGGACAUGGAAACAGUCACAGCAAGUUGGAUCAGUGGUGCAUCCCUCCAGUGUGUGCCAAGGGAAAAGUGUCCAAGGGGGCUGCAGACGACUCCUGCCGGUCCUCCCCAUGUCUGCUGACACUUGGUUCAAGCACUUCCUAAUGCUGGGUUUGCAUUUGAAUUAGUGACCACCGGGUAUUUUCUUCCAUAAAUCCAAUGAAUCGUGUUUUGAACCCUUGUAAAAUUUUAGCAUCCUCUACGCCACACAGCAGUGAGUUUCACAGCUUAACUACAAAUUUUGUAAAUGAGUCCUCAUUUGUUGCAGUGAGUGGGCCUCUGCUACUUUCACCUGAUGUCCCCAAAACUCAUACGUGAAGAGAGAGAGGAUAACCAUUCCCUCUUUGUCACAGCUCUCACGAUCGAGCAGACUUCUAUAAUAUUUUUCCCUGGACCAUUUAUUUUUGCAGUCUGGAAAAAAAAACCAAAACAAAAUAAAAA